RNAcentral lists this microRNA precursor (104 nucleotides) under Picea abies (Norway spruce). RNAcentral's name for it is "miR950e stem-loop (pab-MIR950e)". Its record names the gene pab-MIR950e. The record is from miRBase by way of RNAcentral. Lineage: Eukaryota; Viridiplantae; Streptophyta; Pinopsida; Pinales; Pinaceae.
GUGGAGAAGAAAGCGAAGGUGUUCUUCACGUCUGGGCCGCGAUGGUUUGUUUUACAAAUAAACCAUCUGCCCCAGACGAGAAGAGCACCUUCGCCUUCGUUUAC